This 468-nucleotide ribosomal RNA is filed under the name uncultured bacterium. RNAcentral describes it as "partial 16S ribosomal RNA". It matches the Rfam family "Bacterial small subunit ribosomal RNA", at positions 28 to 507 of the family's 1533-position model. The record is from RNAcentral.
GACGAACGCUGGCGGCGUGCUUAACACAUGCAAGUCGAACGGAAAGGCCCUGCUUUUGUGGGGUGCUCGAGUGGCGAACGGGUGAGUAACACGUGAGUAACCUGCCCUUGACUUUGGGAUAACUUCAGGAAACUGGGGCUAAUACCGGGUAGGAGCUCCUGCUGCAUGGUGGGGGUUGGAAAGUUUCGGCGGUUGGGGAUGGACUCGCGGCUUAUCAGCUUGUUGGUGGGGUAGUGGCUUACCAAGGCUUUGACGGGUAGCCGGCCUGAGAGGGUGACCGGCGACAUUGGGACUGAGAUACGGCCCAGACUCCUACGGGAGGCAGCAGUGGGGAAUAUUGCACAAUGGGCGGAAGCCUGAUGCAGCAACGCCGCGUGCGGGAUGACGGCCUUCGGGUUGUAAACCGAUUUCGCCUGUGACGAAGAGUGAGUGACGGUAAUGGGUAAAGAAGCACCGGCUAACUACGUG